This 253-nucleotide ribosomal RNA is filed under the name uncultured bacterium. RNAcentral's name for it is "partial 16S ribosomal RNA". It matches the Rfam family "Bacterial small subunit ribosomal RNA", at positions 524 to 776 of the family's 1533-position model. The record is from RNAcentral.
UACGGAGGGGACUAGCGUUGUUCGGAAAUACUGGGCGUAAAGCGAACGUAGGCGGCUUGGCAAGUCAGGGGUGAAAUCCCAGUGCUCAACACUGGAACUGCCUUUGAAACUGCCAGGCUUGAAUCCUGGAGAGGCGAGUGGAAUUCCGAGUGUAGAGGUGAAAUUCGUAGAUAUUCGGAAGAACACCAGUGGCGAAGGCGACUCGCUGGACAGGUAUUGACGCUGAGGUUCGAAAGCGUGGGGAGCAAACAGG